Molecule: non-coding RNA, 89 nt
Organism: Mycena rosella
Lineage: Eukaryota; Fungi; Basidiomycota; Agaricomycetes; Agaricales; Mycenaceae
Source: the annotation of a GenBank genome assembly
GGCUCGGUAGCGGAAAGUCCGCGUCUGUUUUCAAUACCCCACUUCCCUUUGUGCAGCAGAAGAAGCCUGUUCGACACAGGCCCGAGCCA